CUUGGCAUGAACGAAAAAAGGACAGAACCAAUAGUUUUUCAAAAACCCAAAAUGUAGGGUGGGCGGGAUGCAUUUUAUCUCAUCCCACACAUUGUCUCAUAGAAUUACAAUCAAACUUCGUCUUCCAAGGACUUCCAUAUGCAAACAGCGCAGUCAUCUGUGUAUCCAAAACCAGACUACGAUUCAUAUAUGCCAAAUAUUCCAUGUACAACAGAAACAGGACCAGCUGAACAUUGGAAACGGAAAAGCGGUCUCAUUAGUGUCCCAGAGUGUCCAGCUAAGCGACAGAAAGGUGGAAGACAGUAUCAUUCAUCAGACGAAUCCAAGAUUCUUGCGCAUGUUUGUGACGGCUUAUCAGACAUUUGAACUAAAAUAUGAAUAGCACAUGCACAUGUAAUAUUAUGAUAUAAAAAGUAUGAAUAACAGAUUGCAAUAACACAGUUUUAUAUAGAUUAAUUUGAAAAUGAUUGAGACAAUG
Dreissena polymorpha is the source of this 478-nucleotide long non-coding RNA. RefSeq lists it as uncharacterized. The record is from RefSeq and is a predicted model, not a curated record. The transcript is spliced from 3 exons. Lineage: Eukaryota; Metazoa; Mollusca; Bivalvia; Myida; Dreissenidae.